CCUACGGGAGGCAGCAGUGGGGAAUAUUGGACAAUGGGGGCAACCCUGAUCCAGCCAUGCCGCGUGUGUGAAGAAGGCCCUCGGGUUGUAAAGCACUUUCAGUGAGGAAGAACGCCUGGUGGUUAAUACCCAUCAGGAAAGACAUCACUCACAGAAGAAGCACCGGCUAACUCCGUGCCAGCAGCCGCGGUAAUACGGAGGGUGCGAGCGUUAAUCGGAAUUACUGGGCGUAAAGCGCGCGUAGGUGGCUUGAUAAGCCGGUUGUGAAAGCCCCGGGCUCAACCUGGGAACGGCAUCCGGAACUGGCAAGCUAGAGUGCAGGAGAGGAAGGUAGAAUUCCCGGUGUAGCGGUGAAAUGCGUAGAGAUCGGGAGGAAUACCAGUGGCGAAGGCGGCCUCCUGGACUGAUACUGACACUGAGGUGCGAAAGCGUGGGUAGCAAACAGGAUUAGAUACCCCAGUAGUC
Molecule: ribosomal RNA, 465 nt
Filed under: Vreelandella stevensii
Lineage: Bacteria; Pseudomonadati; Pseudomonadota; Gammaproteobacteria; Oceanospirillales; Halomonadaceae
Description: partial 16S ribosomal RNA
Rfam family: Bacterial small subunit ribosomal RNA
Source: RNAcentral